GCAUCGGUGGUUUAGUGGUAAAAUUAGCCGUUGCCAUCUCGGCUAGCCCCGGGUUCGAUUCCCGGCCGAUGCA
Molecule: non-coding RNA, 73 nt
Organism: Parastagonospora nodorum SN15
Lineage: Eukaryota; Fungi; Ascomycota; Dothideomycetes; Pleosporales; Phaeosphaeriaceae
Source: the annotation of a RefSeq genome assembly